AGUGAACGCUGGCGGUAGGCCUAACACAUGCAAGUCGAACGGCAGCACAGUAAGAGCUUGCUCUUACGGGUGGCGAGUGGCGGACGGGUGAGGAAUACAUCGGAAUCUACUUUUUCGUGGGGGAUAACGUAGGGAAACUUACGCUAAUACCGCAUACGACCUACGGGUGAAAGCAGGGGAUCUUCGGACCUUGCGCGAUUGAUUGAGCCGAUGUCGGAUUAGCUAGUUGGCGGGGUAAAGGCCCACCAAGGCGACGAUCCGUAGCUGGUCUGAGAGGAUGAUCAGCCACACUGGAACUGAGACACGGUCCAGACUCCUACGGGAGGCAGCAGUGGGGAAUAUUGGACAAUGGGCGCAAGCCUGAUCCAGCCAUACCGCGUGGGUGAAGAAGGCCUUCGGGUUGUAAAGCCCUUUUGUUGGGAAAGAAAAGCAGCAGGUUAAUACCCCGCUGUUCUGACGGUACCCAAAGAAUAAGCACCGGCUAACUUCGUG
RNAcentral lists this ribosomal RNA (492 nucleotides) under uncultured bacterium. RNAcentral describes it as "partial 16S ribosomal RNA". It matches the Rfam family "Bacterial small subunit ribosomal RNA", at positions 29 to 507 of the family's 1533-position model. The record is from RNAcentral.